AGUGAACGCUGGCGGUAGGCCUAACACAUGCAAGUCGAACGGCAGCACAGUAAGAGCUUGCUCUUACGGGUGGCGAGUGGCGGACGGGUGAGGAAUACAUCGGAAUCUACUUUUUCGUGGGGGAUAACGUAGGGAAACUUACGCUAAUACCGUAUACGACCUACGGGUGAAAGCAGGGGAUCUUCGGACCUUGCGCGAUUGAAUGAGCCGAUGUCGGAUUAGCUAGUUGGCGGGGUAAAGGCCCACCAAGGCGACGAUCCGUAGCUGGUCUGAGAGGAUGAUCAGCCACACUGGAACUGAGACACGGUCCAGACCCCUACGGGAGGCAGCAGUGGGGAAUAUUGGACAAUGGGCGCAAGCCUGAUCCAGCCAUACCGCGUGGGUGAAGAAGGCCUUCGGGUUGUAAAGCCCUUUUGUUGGGAAAGAAAAGCAGCAGGUUAAUACCCCGCUGUUCUGACGGUACCCAAAGAAUAAGCACCGGCUAACUUCGUG
RNAcentral lists this ribosomal RNA (492 nucleotides) under uncultured bacterium. RNAcentral's name for it is "partial 16S ribosomal RNA". It matches the Rfam family "Bacterial small subunit ribosomal RNA", at positions 29 to 507 of the family's 1533-position model. The record is from RNAcentral.